CUUUCUCCUCUUUAUCUUCUUCUUUUUUUCAUCUUUCUUCUUUCUUCUUAACCAAAACUAAACCUAAAGUUCCUUCUGGUGUGAUCACAUUGGAAUACUUGUGGCAACAAAUCAUAGUUGCACCAUAUUUUAGGUGGCUCUAGGGUGUAGUGUCGUAAAAUCAAUUUACUUUGUAUGCAAAUCAGAAUGUAUAGUUUGCCUUUCCGCAAAAAAGAAAAGGAAAGCUUUUGCUCUUCUCACUAUUAGUUUCAUAAUAUUUUAUACAACCCCUUCAAGGAGUCUGUGGAUAACUUUCGUUUACAGUUCACUAGAUAUGUGUAUUACAUUUUCUAUUGGAAAUGCAUUUGAAUUCAUUUAUGACAAAUACUAAUUCUACGACGACAUGCCAAUUUUUUUUCUUGUAUAUAAAAUAACUCGUGCACUAAUAUUUACUUCACUGAAAGAUUUUUCACUUUGAAGGGAAAUAGUUUUUGUUCCAUCAUCUAUUAAUAAUAUAACAAUAAUAAUUCAUUAUAUGCCAAUGAGUUGAGAAAUCUGGCACUACAUUAUUUAAAUGACACAUAAAAAGCAUAAUGUACUAACUAAUAAGACUACUAGUGAGAAUUGAGAUUAUACACAAUUAUAGUAGAGAAGAUGCUAUCUAUGCUCUAAACCUAAACUAAAGUAAACCUAAACUAAACCAAACCUAAAA
This is a non-coding RNA of Aegilops tauschii subsp. strangulata, 691 nucleotides long. Lineage: Eukaryota; Viridiplantae; Streptophyta; Magnoliopsida; Poales; Poaceae. The record is from RefSeq and is a predicted model, not a curated record.